AGAGUUUGAUCAUGGCUCAGGAUGAACGCUAGCUGCAGGCUUAACACAUGCAAGUCGAGGGGAAACGACAUCGAAAGCUUGCUUUUGAUGGGCGUCGACCGGCGCACGGGUGAGUAACGCGUAUCCAACCUGCCCACCACUUGGGGAUAACCUUGCGAAAGUAAGACUAAUACCCAAUGACGUCUCUAGAAGACAUCUGAAAGAGAUUAAAGAUUUAUCGGUGAUGGAUGGGGAUGCGUCUGAUUAGCUUGUUGGCGGGGUAACGGCCCACCAAGGCGACGGUCAGUAGGGGUUCUGAGAGGAAGGUCCCCCACAUUGGAACUGAGACGCGGUCCAAACUCCUACGGGAGGCA
RNAcentral lists this ribosomal RNA (353 nucleotides) under uncultured bacterium. RNAcentral describes it as "bacterial SSU rRNA". It matches the Rfam family "Bacterial small subunit ribosomal RNA", at positions 8 to 350 of the family's 1533-position model. The record is from RNAcentral.